Molecule: ribosomal RNA, 253 nt
Filed under: uncultured bacterium
Lineage: Bacteria
Description: partial 16S ribosomal RNA
Rfam family: Bacterial small subunit ribosomal RNA
Source: RNAcentral
GACGGAGGGUGCUAGCGAUGUUCGGAAAUACUGGGCGUAAAGGGCGCGUAGGCGGCCUGGUCAGUCGGGUGUGAAAGCCCGGGGCUCAACCCCGGAAGGGCACCCGAGACGGUCAGGCUGGAGACCGGGAGAGGAGGGUGGAAUAGCCAGUGUAGAGGUGAAAUUCGUAGAGAUUGGCGGGAACACCGGUGGCGAAAGCGGCUCUCUGGCCCGGUUCUGACGAUGAGGCGAGAAAGCGUGGGGAGCAAACAGG